Molecule: ribosomal RNA, 1346 nt
Filed under: uncultured bacterium
Lineage: Bacteria
Description: partial 16S ribosomal RNA
Rfam family: Bacterial small subunit ribosomal RNA
Source: RNAcentral
GACGAACGCUGGCGGCGUGCUUAACACAUGCAAGUCGAACGGAAAGGCCCUGCUUUUGUGGGGUGCUCGAGUGGCGAACGGGUGAGUAACACGUGAGUAACCUGCCCUUGACUUUGGGAUAACUUCAGGAAACUGGGGCUAAUACCGGAUAGGAGCUCCUGCUGCAUGGUGGGGGUUGGAAAGUUUCGGCGGUUGGGGAUGGACUCGCGGCUUAUCAGCUUGUUGGUGGGGUAGUGGCUUACCAAGGCUUUGACGGGUAGCCGGCCUGAGAGGGUGACCGGCCACAUUGGGACUGAGAUACGGCCCAGACUCCUACGGGAGGCAGCAGUGGGGAAUAUUGCACAAUGGGCGGAAGCCUGAUGCAGCAACGCCGCGUGCGGGAUGACGGCCUUCGGGUUGUAAACCGCUUUCGCCUGUGACGAAGCGUAAGUGACGGUAAUGGGUAAAGAAGCACCGGCUAACUACGUGCCAGCAGCCGCGGUGAUACGUAGGGUGCGAGCGUUGUCCGGAUUUAUUGGGCGUAAAGGGCUCGUAGGUGGUUGAUCGCGUCGGAAGUGUAAUCUUGGGGCUUAACCCUGAGCGUGCUUUCGAUACGGGUUGACUUGAGGAAGGUAGGGGAGAAUGGAAUUCCUGGUGGAGCGGUGGAAUGCGCAGAUAUCAGGAGGAACACCAGUGGCGAAGGCGGUUCUCUGGGCCUUUCCUGACGCUGAGGAGCGAAAGCGUGGGGAGCGAACAGGCUUAGAUACCCUGGUAGUCCACGCUGUAAACGGUGGGUACUAGGUGUGGGGUCCAUUCCACGGGUUCCGUGCCGUAGCUAACGCUUUAAGUACCCCGCCUGGGGAGUACGGCCGCAAGGCUAAAACUCAAAGGAAUUGACGGGGCCCCGCACAAGCGGCGGAGCAUGCGGAUUAAUUCGAUGCAACGCGUAGAACCUUACCUGGGUUUGACAUGGAUCGGGAGUGCUCAGAGAUGGGUGUGCCUCUUUUGGGGUCGGUUCACAGGUGGUGCAUGGCUGUCGUCAGCUCGUGUCGUGAGAUGUUGGGUUAAGUCCCGCAACGAGCGCAACCCUUGUUCACUGUUGCCAGCACGUUAUGGUGGGGACUCAGUGGAGACCGCCGGGGUCAACUCGGAGGAAGGUGGGGAUGACGUCAAGUCAUCAUGCCCCUUAUGUCCAGGGCUUCACGCAUGCUACAAUGGCUGGUACAGAGAGUGGCGAGCCUGUGAGGGUGAGCGAAUCUCGGAAAGCCGGUCUCAGUUCGGAUUGGGGUCUGCAACUCGACCUCAUGAAGUCGGAGUCGCUAGUAAUCGCAGAUCAGCAACGCUGCGGUGAAUACGUUCCCGGGGCU